AUCAGCAUAUAAAACCAAUCGACA
RNAcentral lists this small nucleolar RNA (24 nucleotides) under Drosophila subobscura. The record is from RNAcentral. Lineage: Eukaryota; Metazoa; Arthropoda; Insecta; Diptera; Drosophilidae.